Molecule: ribosomal RNA, 253 nt
Filed under: uncultured bacterium
Lineage: Bacteria
Description: partial 16S ribosomal RNA
Rfam family: Bacterial small subunit ribosomal RNA
Source: RNAcentral
UACGUAGGGUGCAAGCGUUAAUCGGAAUUACUGGGCGUAAAGCGUGCGCAGGCGGUGAUGUAAGACAGUUGUGAAAUCCCCGGGCUCAACCCGGGAACUGCGUCCGAUACUGGAAGGCUUGAAUCCGGGAGAGGGAUGUGGAAUUCCAGGUGUAGCGGUGAAAUGCGUAGAUAUCUGGAGGAACACCGGUGGCGAAGGCGGCAUCCUGGACCGGUAUUGACGCUGAGGCGCGAAAGCUAGGGGAGCAAACGGG